UACACAAUGGGGUGGAGUCUGCCU
This 24-nucleotide non-coding RNA is filed under the name Mus musculus (house mouse). The record is from RNAcentral. Lineage: Eukaryota; Metazoa; Chordata; Mammalia; Rodentia; Muridae.